Molecule: ribosomal RNA, 497 nt
Filed under: uncultured bacterium
Lineage: Bacteria
Description: partial 16S ribosomal RNA
Rfam family: Bacterial small subunit ribosomal RNA
Source: RNAcentral
GAUGAACGCUGGCGGCGUGCCUAAUACAUGCAAGUCGAGCGAACGGACGAGAAGCUUGCUUCUCUGGUGUUAGCGGCGGACGGAUGAGUAACACGUGGAUAACCUACCUAUAAGACUGGGAUAACUUCGGGAAACCGUAGCUAAUACCGGAUAAUAUUUUGAACCGCAUGGUUCAAAAGUGAAAGACGGUCUUGCUGUCACUUAUAGAUGGAUCCGCGCUGCAUUAGCUAGUUGGUAAGGUAACGGCUUACCAAGGCAACGAUGCAUAGCCGACCUGAGAGGGUGAUCGGCCACACUGGAACUGAGACACGGUCCAGACUCCUACGGGAGGCAGCAGUAGGGAAUCUUCCGCAAUGGGCGAAAGCCUGACGGAGCAACGCCGCGUGAGUGAUGAAGGUCUUCGGAUCGUAAAACUCUGUUAUUAGGGAAGAACAUAUGUGUAAGUAACUGUGCACAUCUUGACGGUACCUAAUCAGAAAGCCACGGCUAACUACGUG